CCUACGGGUGGCUGCAGUGGGGAAUAUUGCACAAUGGGGGAAACCCUGAUGCAGCGACGCCGCGUGAGUGAAGAAGUAAUUCGUUACGUAAAGCUCUAUCAGAAGGGAAGAAAAUGACGGUACGUGAGUAGGAAGCACCGGCUAAAUACGUGCCAGCAGCCGCGGUAAUACGUAGGGGGCAGGCGUUAUCCGGAUUUACUGGGUGGAAAGGGGGCGUCGACGGGGCGCAAAGUCUGGAGGGAAAAGCCGCAGCUUAACUGAGGAACUGCUUUGGAAACUGGCGAACUAGAGUGCGGGAGGGGUAAGCGGAAUUCCUAGUGUAGCGGUGAAAUGCGUAGAUAUAAGGAGGAACACCGGUGGCGAAGGCGGCUUACUGGAUCGUAACUGACGUUGAGGCUCGAAAGCGUGGGGAGCAAACAGGAUUAGAUACCCGUGUAGUC
RNAcentral lists this ribosomal RNA (440 nucleotides) under uncultured bacterium. RNAcentral describes it as "partial 16S ribosomal RNA". It matches the Rfam family "Bacterial small subunit ribosomal RNA", at positions 338 to 795 of the family's 1533-position model. The record is from RNAcentral.